AGCAGAGUUAAGCAAUGGUUGCUUGGUGGUCUCAUAAGCCGCACUUUGUAGGUUCAAUUCCUACCUCUGCUU
This 72-nucleotide transfer RNA is filed under the name Oscillatoria sp. SIO1A7. Its description in RNAcentral is "tRNA-Met". It matches the Rfam family "tRNA". From Rfam's summary of the family: Transfer RNA (tRNA) molecules are approximately 80 nucleotides in length. Their secondary structure includes four short double-helical elements and three loops (D, anti-codon, and T loops). Further hydrogen bonds mediate the characteristic L-shaped molecular structure. tRNAs have two regions of fundamental functional importance: the anti-codon, which is responsible for specific mRNA codon recognition, and the 3' end, to which the tRNAs corresponding amino acid is attached (by aminoacyl-tRNA synthetases). tRNAs cope with the degeneracy of the genetic code in two manners: having more than one tRNA (with a specific anti-codon) for a particular amino acid; and 'wobble' base-pairing, i.e. permitting non-standard base-pairing at the 3rd anti-codon position. The record is from RNAcentral. Lineage: Bacteria; Bacillati; Cyanobacteriota; Cyanophyceae; Oscillatoriales; Oscillatoriaceae.